GCCUCUUUAGCUCAGUGGUAGAGCAAUGGUCUUGUAAACUGGAGGUCGUGAGUUCAAAUCUCACAGGAGGCA
Non-coding RNA from Anoplophora glabripennis (Asian longhorned beetle), 72 nucleotides. The record is from the annotation of a RefSeq genome assembly. Lineage: Eukaryota; Metazoa; Arthropoda; Insecta; Coleoptera; Cerambycidae.